Molecule: ribosomal RNA, 255 nt
Filed under: uncultured bacterium
Lineage: Bacteria
Description: partial 16S ribosomal RNA
Rfam family: Bacterial small subunit ribosomal RNA
Source: RNAcentral
UACAGAGGUCUCAAGCGUUGUUCGGAUUCAUUGGGCGUAAAGGGUGCGUAGGCGGCGGAGUAAGUUGGAUGUGAAAUCCCAGGGCUUAACCCUGGAACUGCAUUCAAUACUGCUUUGCCUAGAGUACUGGAGAGGAGAUUGGAAUUCACGGGUGUAGCAGUGAAAUGCGUAGAUAUCGUGAGGAAGACCAGUGGCGAAGGCGAAUCUCUGGACAGUAACUGACGCUGAGGCACGAAGGCUAGGGGAGCAAACGGG